This 74-nucleotide transfer RNA is filed under the name Anaerolineales bacterium. Its description in RNAcentral is "tRNA-Val". It matches the Rfam family "tRNA". From Rfam's summary of the family: Transfer RNA (tRNA) molecules are approximately 80 nucleotides in length. Their secondary structure includes four short double-helical elements and three loops (D, anti-codon, and T loops). The record is from RNAcentral. Lineage: Bacteria; Bacillati; Chloroflexota; Anaerolineae; Anaerolineales.
GGCCUCAUAGUUCAGUUGGUUAGAACAUUCGGUUCACAUCCGAAAGGUCACUGGUUCGAGCCCAGUUGAGACCA